RNAcentral lists this ribosomal RNA (333 nucleotides) under Cynorta casita. Its description in RNAcentral is "partial large subunit ribosomal RNA". The stretch from base 188 to 333 matches the Rfam family "Bacterial large subunit ribosomal RNA", at positions 2473 to 2619 of the family's 2925-position model. Lineage: Eukaryota; Metazoa; Arthropoda; Arachnida; Opiliones; Cosmetidae. The record is from RNAcentral.
AAGGUAGAUACUAAAAGGAUGGUUUUUUUAAAUGAAUUUGAAUUUUAUUUAAAAGUAAAAAGGCUUUUAUUAAAUUUUGGGACGAGAAGACCCUAGAAGUUUAUAAUAUAAAAUUUUUGAUUGGGGCAAUUAUUGAAGAUAAUUAUUUUUAAUAGGGUUAAAUUAAAGUAGAAGAAAUUACUCUAGGGAUAACAGCGUUAUUUAAUUAAUGAGUUCUUAUUAAGAAUUAAGUUUGCGACCUCGAUGUUGAAUUAAAUUAAAUGUAUGGUGAAGGGGCUAUGAUAUUUAGUCUGUUCGACUAUUAAAUUUUUACGUGAUCUGAGUUCAGACCGG